ACUAUUAAAGGGCUUAGUAUUUUGAAAAUACCUUAAACAAUUGUUCAACUCAAUUAAAUAGUU
RNAcentral lists this transfer RNA (63 nucleotides) under Spathoderma clenchi. RNAcentral describes it as "tRNA-Ser". The record is from RNAcentral. Lineage: Eukaryota; Metazoa; Mollusca; Caudofoveata; Chaetodermatida; Prochaetodermatidae.